GACGAACGCUGGCGGCGUGCUUAACACAUGCAGUCGAACGGAAAGGCCCUGCUUUUGUGGGGUGCUCGAGUGGCGAACGGGUGAGUAACACGUGAGUAACCUGCCCUUGACUUUGGGAUAACUUCAGGAAACUGGGGCUAAUACCGGAUAGGAGCUCCUGCUGCAUGGUGGGGGUUGGAAAGUUUCGGCGGUUGGGGAUGGACUCGCGGCUUAUCAGCUUGUUGGUGGGGGAGUGGCUUACCAAGGCUUUGCCGGGUAGCCGGCCUGAGAGGGUGACCGGCGACAUUGGGACUGAGAGACGGCCCAGACUCCUACGGGAGGCAGCAGUGGGGAAUAUUGCACAAUGGGCGGAAGCCUGAUGCAGCAACGCCGCGUGCGGGAUGACGGCCUUCGGGUUGUAAACCGCUUUCGCCUGUGACGAAGCGUGAGUGACGGUAAUGGGUAAAGAAGCACCGGCUAACUACGUG
This 467-nucleotide ribosomal RNA is filed under the name uncultured bacterium. RNAcentral's name for it is "partial 16S ribosomal RNA". It matches the Rfam family "Bacterial small subunit ribosomal RNA", at positions 28 to 507 of the family's 1533-position model. The record is from RNAcentral.